This is a long non-coding RNA of Scylla paramamosain (green mud crab), 768 nucleotides long. RefSeq lists it as uncharacterized. Lineage: Eukaryota; Metazoa; Arthropoda; Malacostraca; Decapoda; Portunidae. The record is from RefSeq and is a predicted model, not a curated record. The transcript is spliced from 4 exons.
UACAUCUCAUGCAGGUCUCUCACUACUGAGAGAGAGAAAGAGUUGUACAUAGGCACAUUUCAUUUUGACAGCGCGGGUGUUUCAUUGCUUCUUACUUAGGCUUCGUUCGUUGGUGCUGGCGGUUUGCGUUGCCAUUACCCGGAAAAGUACAUUUGUAUCUUUCACCCAGUGACUGUUGGCUAAUGCUCGGAAGGAAGGGGCACUUCAGGCUUGGUAGGAGAUGGAGUCCCUGAACUCUUGCCAUUCAUACCAUUGAGGGAACCAAACAUGGACAUUGUCAUUGAAUCAACCGCACCUGAAAGAACCACCACCCAUGCAGUCAGAUACAGGCAUUAAUCUAGUAACUGCUGGCUGCAUGCUGAGGUGACCUUGAGACUGGUCCUAGCAUGGCCCUUAGUAGUCCUAACAGGUCUUCCUGGCAGCUAGGUCUCCCUAACGUACCUCGGGGUAUUCUCAAACAGUGAGUAGCUACGACGGAAAACAAGAACCUAGAGUUAUACAUGCAGAUUGUGCAAUAAUGCUACCAAGAGUCCCAGUGAUGGUGGCAGUUGACCAUGCAACUGAGAAUAUUCUUAAAUGAUGUGCGUGAUGCAAGGGAAUAUAUGUCAAGUAAACAAAAGCAAGCGUGGUGACUUGCCGGCUCCUCUGCACGGCCCAAGUAAAGACCGGUGCCCAAAGCCAAGCAUCAAGGUGCCUUACAAUUUUUAUAUAGUGACUGAAAUAUAGUUUCUGAUAAUUAUAAUAAUAAUUAUAAUAUUCAGUAAGGAU